GCUGGGCAUGGUGGUGCGUGCCUGUAAUCCCAGCUACUUGGGAGGCUGAGGCAGGAGAAUCGCUUGAACCUGGGAGGCAGAGGUUGCAGUGAGCUGAGAUUGCGCCAUUGUACUCCAGCCUGAGUGACAGAGUGAGACCCUGUCUCAA
RNAcentral lists this non-coding RNA (148 nucleotides) under Pan paniscus (pygmy chimpanzee). Lineage: Eukaryota; Metazoa; Chordata; Mammalia; Primates; Hominidae. RNAcentral also lists the same sequence under 1 other name. The record is from Rfam by way of RNAcentral.